AACAGUGUAGCUCAAUCGGAUAGAGCAAGUGCCUUCUAAGCACUAGGUUGAGAGUUCGAACCUCUCCACUGUUGCCA
Molecule: transfer RNA, 77 nt
Filed under: Pasteurella multocida
Lineage: Bacteria; Pseudomonadati; Pseudomonadota; Gammaproteobacteria; Pasteurellales; Pasteurellaceae
Also listed under: 3 other names
Description: tRNA-Arg
Rfam family: tRNA
About the family: Transfer RNA (tRNA) molecules are approximately 80 nucleotides in length. Their secondary structure includes four short double-helical elements and three loops (D, anti-codon, and T loops).
Source: RNAcentral